Molecule: ribosomal RNA, 253 nt
Filed under: uncultured bacterium
Lineage: Bacteria
Description: partial 16S ribosomal RNA
Rfam family: Bacterial small subunit ribosomal RNA
Source: RNAcentral
UACGUAGGGGGCAAGCGUUGUCCGGAUUUAUUGGGCGUAAAGCGCUCGCAGGCGGCUCGAUGCGUCGUGCGUGAAACACCCCGGCUCAACUGGGGGGGGUCGUGCGAUACGGUCGGGCUGGAGGCCAGUAGGGGGAUGCGGAAUUCCGGGUGUAGUGGUGGAAUGCGUAGAGAUCCGGAGGAACACCAGCGGCGAAGGCGGCAUCCUGGACUGGUCCUGACGCUCAGGAGCGAAAGCGUGGGGAGCGAUCCGG